RNAcentral lists this ribosomal RNA (253 nucleotides) under uncultured bacterium. RNAcentral's name for it is "partial 16S ribosomal RNA". It matches the Rfam family "Archaeal small subunit ribosomal RNA", at positions 474 to 727 of the family's 1478-position model. The record is from RNAcentral.
UACCAGGACCCCGAGUGGUCGGGACGAUUAUUGGGCCUAAAGCAUCCGUAGCCGGUCCUGCAAGUCUUCCGUUAAAUCCAGCUGCUCAACAGAUGGGCUGCGGGGGAUACUACAGGGCUAGGAGGCGGGAGAGGCAAGCGGUACUUUAUGGGUAGGGGUAAAAUCCGUUGAUCCAUAGAAGACCACCAGUGGCGAAGGCGGCUUGCCAGAACGCGCUCGACGGUGAGGGAUGAAAGCUGGGGGAGCAAACCGG